UACGUAGGGGGCAAGCGUUGUCCGGAUUUAUUGGGCGUAAAGAGCGUGUAGGCGGUUUGGUAGGUCCGUUGUGAAAACUCGAGGCUCAACCUCGAGACGCCGAUGGAAACCAUCAGACUAGAGUCCGGAAGAGGAGAGUGGAAUUCCGUGGUGUAAGCGGUGAAAUGCGGCAGAUAAUCAGGAGGAACACCUGUGGCGAAAGCGGCGCACUGGACCAACAACGUGCGCUGGAGGCGCGAAAGACGUGGGGAGCGAACAGGA
This 261-nucleotide ribosomal RNA is filed under the name uncultured bacterium. Its description in RNAcentral is "partial 16S ribosomal RNA". It matches the Rfam family "Bacterial small subunit ribosomal RNA", at positions 524 to 777 of the family's 1533-position model. The record is from RNAcentral.